Non-coding RNA from Anas platyrhynchos (mallard), 1817 nucleotides. NCBI's taxonomy places the organism in Eukaryota, Metazoa, Chordata, Aves, Anseriformes, Anatidae. The record is from the annotation of a RefSeq genome assembly.
CCUUUCCAAAGAUGUGUUUCUAUCAUUCCACGAUUCUAAAUUUUUCAGACUCUGAACUGUAAGAACUCCAUUCCCAGGAUCAGCCUGGGUUUCUCUUCUCCUUACAACCAGACCAGGAUGGUAGACCUGAAUCUAUACUAAAGUAAUCUUCCCUUGACAGCUGAUGUUUGUGAUGGUUAUACCCAGCUUGGAAGAUGAAAUCCACCACAGCCACUUUCACACCCCCUCCUCAAAGGAAAAAAGUUAGAAAGUAUGAUGGAAAGGGCUCCAGGCUUGACUUAAGGAUGAGGACAUCACUCACCAAUUAUCGUCAAGGGUAACGGAGACUCAGAGAGGUUAUUGAAAUGUAUUGCCUAUAUUGUUCUUGUACUCUAGCACAGUGAGAAAUAAAAAGGCAACUAAAAACACUUUCCUCCCCCACUCCCAACCACCAUUCACCACCUUCUGUGCUCUCCCUCCAAUAGUCAGGCACAUGGGAACAGGGAAUGGGGGCCCAGAUUCCCACUUUUCUCACACUUUGUUUUAGGAACAGGAUUUUGCAGCUGGUGGGAGCAAGAAGCCACCCUUGGACUGGCAGUCACUAUGAGAGCUCAGACCUUUGCAAGGCAGACCAUUCAGUCAAAACACAGCUGAAAUAAGAGAAAGAGCCCCAUGCCUUGCUAGGAAUUCUCAUAAGCCAGGAGUCAGUCUCUCCCACACUUGCUUUGUCUUCUGAUGCGGGAGAAAUGAGCAGAUUUCCAGGCACCUUGGGUGUUUUCCGGUCCCACAAAAGGACUGCACUGACUCUGCUGAGGUCGAUAGUAGCUUGGGUAUGGACCUUUCUGCAUUUUUGUUGCAGUGGUGUAUUUUUGCUAAAAAAAUUGAGCAGCAGUAACCCCCUGUUCCCUGCCCUCCCCAUCCCCACCCAGCAAUGGUACGGAGUUGAGGCACUACCCUUGGGUGUACCAAACGAGUCGUUUCCUCCCCAGAGCUGAUGGACCCUCAUUCCAGAUGACGCUUGCAUAUACCACUGACAAACACUUUGGUGAUGAGAAUAUGGUGCCUGCAAUGCCCAAGUAUUUCUAAGGAAAAACUCUUCCUGUUUCCCACUGCACUGCCCUUGCUCCCUGACCACCGGUGCUGCCAGGAGGAGCCUGGGGGACACUUCCCUGUGGCUCGAUGCAGGGGCUCUCCAGCUGCCACCCGAGGGAGGCACCUCCUCCUCCCACGUGGCACAGCUCAGCCUGCCCCGGGGACAGUUUCCUUCUGCAAGUCGCAACUCGGAGAACAGAGAGCUCUGAGACAGCUGAGUGGGACACGCCAACAUGCUGCUGCUGGCAGCGCUGGUGGCCACAACCACUUGGUCUUAUGGAUUUGCACAGGAAAUUCCCAUACAGGCACCUAUAUCCAUCACCAAAUUUCAAGGAAGUACACGUCUGCAAUGUCAUUUUAAAGAUGUCUCUACAAAUUUUGAUAGCAUCGUCAUUCAUUGGUACCAGCAGAAGGAGAAUAAAGCUCCAGAGUGGAUGUUCUAUAUUACAACAGGGAAAACAUCAGUGGAGGAAAACUUCCAAGGGCGAACAUAUACAAUUGAAAGGAUUUCAAGAAAGAAAAUUUGUACUCUUACAAUAAGCAAUAUAAUUCCAGAUGACACAGCUAUCUACUACUGUGCCUACUGGGACUCUCACUACAGCAGAAACCCAGCGAUCACCUCAACCAAUACUCCCUCAGAGGCUCAACCACAAACGAUUUGAAAGAUCCCAACUCACUUCCCCCAGUGUGGAUGAGCCGCCUGGCCUCAACACGCAGGCUCUGCACAGCCGGGACUGGCUCGGCGC